This is a long non-coding RNA of Prinia subflava (tawny-flanked prinia), 493 nucleotides long. RefSeq lists it as uncharacterized. The transcript has 3 exons. The record is from RefSeq and is a predicted model, not a curated record. Lineage: Eukaryota; Metazoa; Chordata; Aves; Passeriformes; Cisticolidae.
AUGAGCAGCACUACAAUUGCAGGCCUGUUGGGAGAGCAAGAAAAAGCAGAGAACUAAACACAAGGGAAAGUUGAGAACUAAAUUGUGCAUGAAAUCAGCUGCGGGUACAUAAUAUGGAUGUAUUCCACAGGUGACUGACUUGUGAAAAAGCUGACCAGAAAACUGGAGUUGCUGAUGCAGCUGAAAGAACUCAGCAAGCUGUCACUUCCAGCCACUCCAAGCAUCCAAGGAUCUUGUGAGAAGAAUGCAGAUGCUUAACUCGGUGGAAGAGAAAAGAAGUCAAACCUGGGCUUUAAGAGAACUCCACUGUUUUUCACAAGUCACAGCCCUUGGGAGGAUGCCGAAUCAGCAGCAUAAUCCUCAGCCAAGAUCCCAGGCACACCCUCAUGCCCUGCAACUCAGCACAUCUGCCCUCCCCAUGGGACAGCAGGCUGGUUCCUUGGGCCUCACUACACUGAUACAGAGGAUGCCGAGGGGCCACGCAGAACCUCUG